This is a long non-coding RNA of Alosa sapidissima (American shad), 307 nucleotides long. RefSeq lists it as uncharacterized. The transcript has 2 exons. Lineage: Eukaryota; Metazoa; Chordata; Actinopteri; Clupeiformes; Clupeidae. The record is from RefSeq and is a predicted model, not a curated record.
CUGUCAUAUUGAACUAGCUAGUAGCCUAGCCCUCCCACGUAGUAGUCUCUUUUGUGCGACCAACAGGAGGGGCACCGGCUCAUGGGCUAACUACACCUCCGGCCAGUUGGGGAGAAUCCGAGGCACGACAGCGGCCGUGGCGGGUCCACUAGUACCUCUUACCUGCUGACGACGGAACAGAGUUCAACCUGGAUUGACUGCAGACCCCUUGUGGCCACACAGAGGAAUUCUACUGAAGGACCACGUCACUCUUGUGACCAUAAGACUCUUUUAAAUACCUUUUCUAAUAAACAAAAACUUUUAUAAA